Erigeron canadensis is the source of this 532-nucleotide long non-coding RNA. RefSeq lists it as uncharacterized. The transcript has 3 exons. NCBI's taxonomy places the organism in Eukaryota, Viridiplantae, Streptophyta, Magnoliopsida, Asterales, Asteraceae. The record is from RefSeq and is a predicted model, not a curated record.
AUACAUGAUCUAAUCUGGUUUUUUUUAGAAUUGUUUUUCACAAAUUUCAUGACCAUCUUAAAAUGUUUACAUAGGUUAGUUUCCAGCCUUAAAUAUGUUUUAAGGGAACAAGACGGCAUUUUCAUACUUAAUAAGUUCGUACAAGUGCAACCACAAGUAUGACUCUUGGCACAACCCAUACGGGGCAAAAAGAUCCGACCACUUGUCAUUGUAUCUUCGAGCUUUUGUACAUUGAGCUUUAAUACAGGUGCCUCAAAUCGCCAAAAUGGAGCCACUGUGGGUCGCUGUCCGUUCCUUCCUCCAAAUGGUUUAAAACUGUAUCAGCCACUGUGGGUCGCUGACCUUACAUACCUAUUGUUUGAUUGCAGAGAACACGGCAAAUAUAAUAGUAUCUUGAAGAAGAAUCAUGCACAUCACCGCAUUAUCUUAGUCGCUUCGGAAUUCACUUUGUGCCACAUUUUAUGACUGAACCUUUUAUCACUUCCUGUUACGAGUCAUCAGUGACAAACUUGUUUAUAUCUUAUGCUACCAA